Long non-coding RNA from Corticium candelabrum, 1269 nucleotides. RefSeq lists it as uncharacterized. Lineage: Eukaryota; Metazoa; Porifera; Homoscleromorpha; Homosclerophorida; Plakinidae. The transcript is spliced from 4 exons. The record is from RefSeq and is a predicted model, not a curated record.
GUGAGCCUCCUCUUGUACUAACAUUUUGUGCGACAGCGGUGACUGAUGACGAAAGUAUAAUAUUCUAAAGAGAAUGGGUGCGAAAAGCUAGAUUUCACAAGGUGAAUAGACACAAGGUGAAUAGACACAAGGGAAUGUAGUAUGGACAUCCGGGAAUGUAGUAUGGACAUCCGGGAACUUGUAUUGGGCUGUCUUUUUUAACAGCAGUCAUUCUCGAAAUAGAUCGACUUGAGAUAAUUAACAGCAAGACCGGCUGAGCGCGUGCUAAGAACGCAGUUACUUGCAGUGGCGUAGGAAGAUGUUCACAAGCGGAGGAGGGAAUGUAGAGUCCCGGAUCUGAUCUCGGACAUUUCCUAAUCUCGGUCACUCGUUCUCUGCCAAAUAGCUGCAGCCAGACCUAGCUGCUACGCUAGCGUCAUAGUCCUACUGGAUAGCAACUAGGUAGAGCGGGCCACGUCAGCAUCCGUCGUAACGUUGCUGCUGUAGAACUUGAAAACUGAUCGCACCUAUUCUCGGUCACAGAGUAUCAUACCUCGGCUCCUUAAAUGACUUCCUUUCGCCAAAUUUUUGGUUUUGUCUUGUCAACAUCUACUCGCGCAGACAACGAGGAAGACGGAUGACUCACGGGACAUAAUCUCGGUCACCUGAUCUCGAGUGAUUUUCUCUCUUCAAACGUAGAUCUGAGGCGUUCUUUUGGCUCAUGUUAUAGUCAUCACCGCUGGCUACCAUACCUACGGGGUGACGUUAGUGCUCAUCGUACUGUUGCUACGGCAGAACGUGAAAUGUGAGAGACAAAUACUCGGACAUCCGGGAUCAUAUCUCGGUCAGUCGCUUUCGUCGCGUUUCUACAAGACGAAUUGAGACGUUAGCCAUGUCUGUUGAAAGGGCAGUGAGAAAGGUGAUGGCGUACGGGACAUAAUCUCGGUCACGCGAGUUUGAGAAAGAUGGGUUCCUGAGUAGGUUGUAUUGUGUGAUUUUUAGUCUACUGUUGUUCUAGAGCUAUAUUGUCACGAAUGUGUGUAUUUAACUUACUAUUUUCAGGACUUCAAACAUGCAACGUGCUGACUCUGAAUUUUCACGUUUUUGUUAGCAGUUAGCCAGAGAGUAUUCCUACCUGUUUCUACAUUCUUGACUGGCAGAUAUAAUGAUUCUUUAUCUUGGAUGGGAUGAUUGAUGAUUUUAUCAAGUAGAAUUGCACACAAACUGCUUUUUACUUUUAUCCCUAGGAGAGUUAUGCUGAGAACUUAUGAAAAUGGUGACAUUGUUGCC